AGCGUACACGGUGGAUGCCCUGGCAGUCAGAGGCGAUGAAGGACGUGCUAAUCUGCGAUAAGCGUCGGUAAGGUGAUAUGAACCGUUAUAACCGGCGAUUUCCGAAUGGGGAAACCCAGUGUGUUUCGACACACUAUCAUUAACUGAAUCCAUAGGUUAAUGAGGCGAACCGGGGGAACUGAAACAUCUAAGUACCCCGAGGAAAAGAAAUCAACCGAGAUUCCCCCAGUAGCGGCGAGCGAACGGGGAGCAGCCCAGAGCCUGAAUCAGUGUGUGUGUUAGUGGAAGCGUCUGGAAAGGCGCGCGAUACAGGGUGACAGCCCCGUACACAAAAAUGCACAUGCUGUGAGCUCGAUGAGUAGGGCGGGACACGUGGUAUCCUGUCUGAAUAUGGGGGGACCAUCCUCCAAGGCUAAAUACUCCUGACUGACCGAUAGUGAACCAGUACCGUGAGGGAAAGGCGAAAAGAACCCCGGCGAGGGGAGUGAAAAAGAACCUGAAACCGUGUACGUACAAGCAGUGGGAGCACGCUUAGGCGUGUGACUGCGUACCUUUUGUAUAAUGGGUCAGCGACUUAUAUUCUGUAGCAAGGUUAACCGAAUAGGGGAGCCGAAGGGAAACCGAGUCUUAACUGGGCGUUAAGUUGCAGGGUAUAGACCCGAAACCCGGUGAUCUAGCCAUGGGCAGGUUGAAGGUUGGGUAACACUAACUGGAGGACCGAACCGACUAAUGUUGAAAAAUUAGCGGAUGACUUGUGGCUGGGGGUGAAAGGCCAAUCAAACCGGGAGAUAGCUGGUUCUCCCCGAAAGCUAUUUAGGUAGCGCCUCGUGAAUUCAUCUCCGGGGGUAGAGCACUGUUUCGGCAAGGGGGUCAUCCCGACUUACCAACCCGAUGCAAACUGCGAAUACCGGAGAAUGUUAUCACGGGAGACACACGGCGGGUGCUAACGUCCGUCGUGAAGAGGGAAACAACCCAGACCGCCAGCUAAGGUCCCAAAGUCAUGGUUAAGUGGGAAACGAUGUGGGAAGGCCCAGACAGCCAGGAUGUUGGCUUAGAAGCAGCCAUCAUUUAAAGAAAGCGUAAUAGCUCACUGGUCGAGUCGGCCUGCGCGGAAGAUGUAACGGGGCUAAACCAUGCACCGAAGCUGCGGCAGCGACGCUGAUGCGUUGUUGGGUAGGGGAGCGUUCUGUAAGCCUGUGAAGGUGUGCUGUGAGGCAUGCUGGAGGUAUCAGAAGUGCGAAUGCUGACAUAAGUAACGAUAAAGCGGGUGAAAAGCCCGCUCGCCGGAAGACCAAGGGUUCCUGUCCAACGUUAAUCGGGGCAGGGUGAGUCGACCCCUAAGGCGAGGCCGAAAGGCGUAGUCGAUGGGAAACAGGUUAAUAUUCCUGUACUUGGUGUUACUGCGAAGGGGGGACGGAGAAGGCUAUGUUGGCCGGGCGACGGUUGUCCCGGUUUAAGCGUGUAGGCUGGUUUUCCAGGCAAAUCCGGAAAAUCAAGGCUGAGGCGUGAUGACGAGGCACUACGGUGCUGAAGCAACAAAUGCCCUGCUUCCAGGAAAAGCCUCUAAGCAUCAGGUAACAUCAAAUCGUACCCCAAACCGACACAGGUGGUCAGGUAGAGAAUACCAAGGCGCUUGAGAGAACUCGGGUGAAGGAACUAGGCAAAAUGGUGCCGUAACUUCGGGAGAAGGCACGCUGAUAUGUAGGUGAAGUCCCUCGCGGAUGGAGCUGAAAUCAGUCGAAGAUACCAGCUGGCUGCAACUGUUUAUUAAAAACACAGCACUGUGCAAACACGAAAGUGGACGUAUACGGUGUGACGCCUGCCCGGUGCCGGAAGGUUAAUUGAUGGGGUUAGCCGCAAGGCGAAGCUCUUGAUCGAAGCCCCGGUAAACGGCGGCCGUAACUAUAACGGUCCUAAGGUAGCGAAAUUCCUUGUCGGGUAAGUUCCGACCUGCACGAAUGGCGUAAUGAUGGCCAGGCUGUCUCCACCCGAGACUCAGUGAAAUUGAACUCGCUGUGAAGAUGCAGUGUACCCGCGGCAAGACGGAAAGACCCCGUGAACCUUUACUAUAGCUUGACACUGAACAUUGAGCCUUGAUGUGUAGGAUAGGUGGGAGGCUUUGAAGUGUGGACGCCAGUCUGCAUGGAGCCGACCUUGAAAUACCACCCUUUAAUGUUUGAUGUUCUAACGUUGACCCGUAAUCCGGGUUGCGGACAGUGUCUGGUGGGUAGUUUGACUGGGGCGGUCUCCUCCUAAAGAGUAACGGAGGAGCACGAAGGUUGGCUAAUCCUGGUCGGACAUCAGGAGGUUAGUGCAAUGGCAUAAGCCAGCUUGACUGCGAGCGUGACGGCGCGAGCAGGUGCGAAAGCAGGUCAUAGUGAUCCGGUGGUUCUGAAUGGAAGGGCCAUCGCUCAACGGAUAAAAGGUACUCCGGGGAUAACAGGCUGAUACCGCCCAAGAGUUCAUAUCGACGGCGGUGUUUGGCACCUCGAUGUCGGCUCAUCACAUCCUGGGGCUGAAGUAGGUCCCAAGGGUAUGGCUGUUCGCCAUUUAAAGUGGUACGCGAGCUGGGUUUAGAACGUCGUGAGACAGUUCGGUCCCUAUCUGCCGUGGGCGCUGGAGAACUGAGGGGGGCUGCUCCUAGUACGAGAGGACCGGAGUGGACGCAUCACUGGUGUUCGGGUUGUCAUGCCAAUGGCACUGCCCGGUAGCUAAAUGCGGAAGAGAUAAGUGCUGAAAGCAUCUAAGCACGAAACUUGCCCCGAGAUGAGUUCUCCCUGACUCCUUGA
RNAcentral lists this ribosomal RNA (2789 nucleotides) under Escherichia coli. RNAcentral describes it as "bacterial LSU rRNA". It matches the Rfam family "Bacterial large subunit ribosomal RNA". Lineage: Bacteria; Pseudomonadati; Pseudomonadota; Gammaproteobacteria; Enterobacterales; Enterobacteriaceae. The record is from RNAcentral.